RNAcentral lists this ribosomal RNA (253 nucleotides) under uncultured bacterium. Its description in RNAcentral is "partial 16S ribosomal RNA". It matches the Rfam family "Bacterial small subunit ribosomal RNA", at positions 524 to 776 of the family's 1533-position model. The record is from RNAcentral.
UACGGAGGGAGCUAGCGUUGUUCGGAAUUACUGGGCGUAAAGCGCACGUAGGCGGCUUUGUAAGUUAGAGGUGAAAGCCCGGGGCUCAACUCCGGAACUGCCUUUAAGACUGCAUCGCUUGAAUCCAGGAGAGGUGAGUGGAAUUCCGAGUGUAGAGGUGAAAUUCGUAGAUAUUAGGAAGAACACCAGUGGCGAAGGCGGCUCACUGGUCCGGUACUGACGCUGAGGUGCGAAAGCGUGGGGAGCAAACAGG